This 270-nucleotide long non-coding RNA is filed under the name Nicotiana benthamiana. RNAcentral's name for it is "long non-coding RNA (NBEN_LNC038609)". Lineage: Eukaryota; Viridiplantae; Streptophyta; Magnoliopsida; Solanales; Solanaceae. The record is from RNAcentral.
AGAUUCGCUUGUCCAAAUCCUUUUGCUUUAGUUUGAGACCCAUUGGCUAAAGUAACGUUGGGAAGAGACUAUGAAUACGCAAUAUUUGACAAAAGGAAUUUAUUACCAGAGAUAUGAUCAGAAGCAGCUGAGUCCAUAACACAAGCAAAAGAAUUACCAGCAACAGAAGUAUUGGUCUGAGCAACAAAGGCUACUUGUGGAGAUAACUGCUUACUUGCUCGAUAUUUAAGGAACUCAUUAUACUCCCCUUCAGAUACAGAAAAUUCCUGN